CGCCAAAGGGGAGCUGCCCUA
RNAcentral lists this microRNA (21 nucleotides) under Solanum tuberosum (potato). RNAcentral's name for it is "stu-miR399g-3p". Its record names the gene stu-miR399g-3p. Lineage: Eukaryota; Viridiplantae; Streptophyta; Magnoliopsida; Solanales; Solanaceae. The record is from miRBase by way of RNAcentral.